GAGUUUGAUCUUGGCUCAGGACGAACGCUGGCGGCGUGCUUAACACAUGCAAGUCACGGGGGUCCGCAAGGGCAACCGGCGAACGGGUGCGUAACACGUGAGCAAUCUGCCGAUUUCUGGGGGAUAGCCGGCCCAACGGCCGGGUAAUACCGCAUACGCUCAUGGGGUGGAGUCACUCUAUGAGGAAACCUCCGGGGGAGAUCGAGGAGCUCGCGGCCUAUCAGCUUGUUGGCGAGGUAAUGGCUCACCAAGGCGAUGACGGGUAGCUGGUCUGAGAGGAUGGCCAGCCACAUUGGGACUGAGAGACGGCCCAGACUCCUACGGGAGGCAGCAGUGGGGAAUCUUGCGCAAUGGCCGAAAGGCUGACGCAGCGACGCCGCGUGUGGGAUGACGCCUUUCGGGGUGU
RNAcentral lists this ribosomal RNA (406 nucleotides) under uncultured Gemmatimonadota bacterium. RNAcentral describes it as "bacterial SSU rRNA". It matches the Rfam family "Bacterial small subunit ribosomal RNA", at positions 9 to 426 of the family's 1533-position model. Lineage: Bacteria; Pseudomonadati; Gemmatimonadota. The record is from RNAcentral.